RNAcentral lists this long non-coding RNA (1463 nucleotides) under Homo sapiens (human). RNAcentral describes it as "HSALNT0346030". Lineage: Eukaryota; Metazoa; Chordata; Mammalia; Primates; Hominidae. The record is from RNAcentral.
CCUGCAUGAUGAAGGGAUGAUGGGUGAGCUACCAAGGCUAACAUUUUCCCGAGGACAUUGAGUUAGGGAAGUGGCCUCUCCUUGAGGGAAGGAGCCAGAUGACUUCUCAGAGAACAACAACCAUAUUCAAAAUAUUCUCAAGUUUCUUUUGUUUCUUCUUGUCUGCAUCUGAUAUCCAGGACAUUAUUCCACAGGAAAAGGUUAACAGGAAAUCAAGAUCGGCCCGGGCUAAGAGGAGGAUUGUAAGUGAUUCAGAAGCAAAGCUUAUUGAUCACGAAGCAUGACAGUGGAAGAAUUUCCUGAAAAUGGAAGGAGAAGAUGGUUUCACAGCAAAGCUACUAAUCUGAAACAGUAAAAGCAACAAACAAAUGCCCACUCCCCUUAGCUGACCAGAACACAAUCCUUGUGAAAUAUAAAAACAAUUAGGUACAUGUAACACAGGACACUGUUUUUCAAAUUUAAUGUUAACAGUGGGAUUAUUUGUUUUCCCUGCGACAAAUUUCUUUGUGGGAGUCUGAUAUAUCAAAUAGGAUUGGUAAAGUGAAGCAGGCACGGGCAUCUAGAAUUCUGCUGCUUCGUACUGCCCCUUCCCAGUCCCCAGUGGCCAGGAGAUGCCCCAUCAGAGCUCCAGGGCUCUCAGAUCAUUGUUUGAAAACUACUCAUCAGAAUGUCUCUUUGAAUCAGAGCUUGGAUUUCUGAUGCAUCGGACAUUUAAACUCUCCCCGUUUUGCCACCUCUCUUGCAGUGAGUUAACCUAAAACAUAAAGGGAAAAAGCAACAACAAAAAAGAUCAAAAAAGCCCAAACGAUCAAAAAAGGCACGCUGAAAUCUGUGUCCUCACCUAUUCAGAAAGUCAGGGGAAAAAAAGAUAAAAGAAUAAAUCCUAAGCAAAAGCAACUUUCCAUCGAGAUGACAAGACAGAAGCUGCUUCCUGUGCAGGAAAUGCGAGAUCUCUGCUCAGUGACAGAGGCUCAGGAAUUUCAUAGGACCUAUGGAUCUUCCAGUCCAACUGAGUGCAGAAAACUGCCAGGUUUCAUCUUCCUCCUUCUCUGCACCAAAAAACCUGAGACCGGGAUGCCAUGUAGCUGCUUCAGUUGGGAGAUGAUGCCAAGAACCACAAAUGAGGAAAUGAAGGGUCUGGCUCUUAUCACCUCUGAAUAGCAUGCCAUUCUCUUAGCCUCAUCUAAGAAACAGACUGUAGGGGAAGAGAAGAUCUAGAAUGUUGGUCACCAACCAAUGGCAGACAUUAUCAGACAAUUUGUGAGCAAGGAAGUCAGGAACUGUGAGCCACCUGCCAUCUUAAUUUGACAUCUAGUCUCACUACUUUCAAGCACCUCCACUUCAAAAUACUCUUACAAGUGAAUCACCAUUGUUAAAUGGAUCUUUGAAGGAAUUUUGACAACCAGACUGAAAACAAUCUAGACAUCUUAGAUAUUUGUGGCUUCACAGAAAAUAAAAUAAAA